AGGCUGAGUGCGUCGGCACUCUGCAACCCAAAACAUGUUGGGGCCCGGCCUUUCGGCCGGGCCUUUUUUGCGUCAGCG
RNAcentral lists this unclassified non-coding RNA (78 nucleotides) under Rhizobium sp. RU33A. RNAcentral's name for it is "suhB". The record is from RNAcentral. Lineage: Bacteria; Pseudomonadati; Pseudomonadota; Alphaproteobacteria; Hyphomicrobiales; Rhizobiaceae.